Molecule: RNA transcript, 2348 nt
Organism: Macadamia integrifolia
Lineage: Eukaryota; Viridiplantae; Streptophyta; Magnoliopsida; Proteales; Proteaceae
Gene name: putative exosome complex exonuclease RRP42
Exons: 12
Source: RefSeq, a predicted model, not a curated record
ACUGAUCAAUUUUCAGUUUUCACACUAUCCUCAACUUUCUAUUUCUGCUCUCUGAUCUCCUCUCACCGAUCUCUCUCGCUCGCAUCUCGGACUGUAGGGUUUCGUAAUCCCAGUGCCUGAGUUCACUCUGUGUCACGUCUUCGUCCCUUAACGGAUACCACUCUGAAUCUCCUUUAAAGUCUUUCUUAACCUAAGUUCUCAGUCGCUCUCUGAUCUCUCUCGCUUUCCUUCUUCGUUUCAUAAUCGCUUCACUGAUCACUCUCGGACGUUAGGGUUUCGAAAUCCCACCGCCUGAGUUCACAUUGUGUCACGCCUUCGCCCCUUAACGGACAUCACUCUGCAACGCCUGAGAAAUCACCUUUAUCUGCUGUACGAGUUUCUUCUUAGUAGAAAUGGCGGGACCAUCUGUUGGAGGGAAACAUUUCAUACAGGGUGCUAUUGCUCAAGACCUUCACACUGAUGGUCGAAAAAGAUUAGUUUACCGACCUAUAUCUGUUGAAACUGGAGUCAUUCCUCAGGCAAAUGGUUCUGCAAGAGUUAGAACGGGAACUACUGAUGUCAUUGCCAGUGUGAAGAGGAAUUUCCUGCUAAUAUUUCCUAGCAAUCACCAUUGGCAGGCUGAACUUGGAAAACCAUAUCUGCUUCAACCUGGUAAAGGCAGGGUCAUCAUAAAUGUUGAUUGUAGUCCCGCAGAAGCUUCUGUAUUUAAGGGCAGAGGAGGUAAAGAGUUAUCAACGGAACUCUCAAUUGCACUGCAGAGAUGCUUAUUGGGUAGUACAAUUGGAACAAGUACGACUAUCAGUAAUUCAGCUGCACCGCAGAGAUGUUUAUUGGGUAGUAAAAGUGGAACAGGGGUUGGCAUUGACUGCUCAUCUCUAAUGAUUGCGGAAGGGAAACUGUGCUGGGAAUUAUAUGUUGAUGGCCUUGUUGUCAGUUCUGAUGGGAAUUUACUAGAUGCCUUAGGUGCUGCAAUCAAGGCUGCCUUGAACAAUACAUGCAUCCCAAAAGUCUAUAUAACUACAGCUGCCUCUGCCGAUGAUGAGAAGCCAGAAAUUGACAUUAGUGAUGAAGAGUUUUUACAGUUUGACACCUCUGGCAUCCCUGUAAUUGUAACUUUAACCAAGUGGAUUUGCUCCCAGACAAGUGGAGGGGUUUUUAAGGUUAUUCAUACAAGAGGGGCUGUUACAGCUCCCAAGAUUUGAGUUUUGAACAAAAGAAAGCAUUAUUUUGUAACCUGUGAGAUGCAGCUGCUGGGAGAGACAGGCAGAGACGGCUUGAGUGAGAUGCCCUUGUGGAGAUAGGUGGGAUACCUUCUCUACGGUUGGUGAGAUACACAUAUCCUUCUUCUACCUUUCUUCUUUUCUUUUCUUUUAUUACUUCAUUCAAUUUACAGUGGCUUUCAAUGGGGAUUUCCAAGGCAUCCAACCAGUAACUUAGACCCAUCUUUGUAGAGGAACUGAUAUGCUUUGACAUAAUAUGUUUCAAUGCAUAUUACUGUUCAUCAAUACAACUUCAAUAUGAUUCGCAUCGAGGUCCUUUAAGUGAUCCUUUCAACGAGGGCCAGAGUGGAUGCAAAGUAUACGAGAAGCCAAGCACAUAUGGGGUAGUAGCAGUAACUAUGACGAUGGGAACGUCCUAACAGUCGUUAGAAGAACAUUGAGAAUUGUAAAGGACUCUGCAGGCAUAUAUCAUCUAAAAAAGUUACCAGCUGCUGGUCUAACUCAUGUUCAUCUGUUGCUAACAUUCCAGUUUGUGUGGUGGGGUUGAUGAUGAGAAGGAGAAAUGGGAGUACAUAUGGUAGAAUUAGGGAAGAUUGGGACUGUUGGCUCCAGUCAAUGUGAUUUUUUCGUUUAGCAUUUCUAUGGCACCACCCUGAGAAUGUCGAGCUUGACAAAGUUAAGGUCGUCCACUACUGUGCUGCUGGGUCAAAGCCUUCGAGGUUCACUACCAAUGAAGCAAACAUGGAUAGAGAGGACAUUAAGCGCCAAUGAAGCAAGCAUGGAUAGAGAGGACUUUAAGAUGUCAGUUGGUAAAUGGUGGGAAAUUUACAAUGAUGAAUCACUGGACUUCAAGUUAUGGAUGUGAAUUUGAAACCGAAACCGUUUACUGAAACCGAAUUGAGCCAUAUACAUCGACACUGUAAAACUGUUUAGUAAAUGGUUUGGUUAUGGUUUCAAGUUUCCGGCCGAUUAGCUAAACGGGUUGAAAUCGAACCAAGCCGUUUAACCCGUGGUUUCAAACCGAGUUGAAAUCGUGAAAACCAAAUCGUUUAAAAUGUCAAAACCAAUCUGAUUAACUCGUUUGAAGAUAAUAAGGUGGUUGCAAGAUAUCAUUAGUAUCUCAUUUAA